UUUGAAAUCUUUUUUUUUAAGAUUCAGUUAAAGGGCAAAAAGUUGAUGAUGACAGAGAUGAUAUUACAAAAAUGAAAUCUUUAGACGAUUCAGUUAAAGGGCAGACAGGUGAUACUGAUAGUGACAGCGAUGAUAUUUCAAAAGUGCAGUCUUUAGACGAUUCUGGAAGAAGAGAGAUUGAUGAUCACAACAGAAUGAAAGCAGACAAAGAAAAUGCAGACGGGAGCUUAAAUGGAGAGAUAGAAGAAAGGACCAGAAAGGGACGAAAAAAGAGACAAAGUCAAAAUGGUGAAAUGACUCCUCUUUCAAAGUCUCGCACCAAAUCUGAUGAAAAAGAGCUGGAUAAAAAAAAAGAUUCCGAUACCGGUAUUAAAGAUGUGGUAAAUUUACCGUCACCCCAUGUUACUAUGACGACACCCGAUUUACCACAAAUACAACAAAAG
Patella vulgata (common limpet) is the source of this 443-nucleotide long non-coding RNA. RefSeq lists it as uncharacterized. Lineage: Eukaryota; Metazoa; Mollusca; Gastropoda; Patellidae. The transcript has 4 exons. The record is from RefSeq and is a predicted model, not a curated record.